CCCACCACGAGUGACGGUCGUUCCUGCACAGCUGGCAUUAAUCCAUCACUGCCAUAAUCUAAGCGGAACACGCAGCGGCACCGAUGAGUUACGACGGUGCCGGCGCUAUGUUAUAUAAGCUGGCAAGCACGCAAGCAAAGCAGUCCUGGUCGACGCAGUAUGUACUACGUGGUCGUGGGGCUCACGGUGAGAAACGACGCGCGAAGAACGACCACGUUGAAUGAGCAAGGCCUUGCACGCAAGUAACGCGAGCUGAUUUGAAAGCUCGAGCACUCAUGGACGUCGGCGACGCUUAUAACGAGCGCAACCACGUGUCUUUUGACGCACGAAGCCUGCGCCCCAUUUAUAGCCGGAAUCGACCAAUCGGCGAGCGAGGCGGACCACGAGAAACGAAUAGGCACGGAGGGAAAAAUGAAGAUUUGCACAUAAUGCACCGGGGCCGCUCCGACUUUCCUUUUCCGAAGGCUAUUUUCGCGUCGAGACAUUGCAAGACUACGCACUUCAAGACGCACAUUCGCAGUCGCCGCCAAUCGGAAGACGGAACACACGGAACGCUGCAAUGCGUUCAACGACUUCUCUCGCGACUUUACGAAGCCUCCUUCCCAACGCACGUCACAACAUAUGCACCUUUUGCGCAAGCGUAAUGCGCCGUCUGUUUCCGAGAGCGCACAUACCAUGGAGGAUGAGAGAGAGUAUGGCGAGCGACGAGUGAAGAAUUAUAAUUAUAUUAAAGCCAUCUGCUUCUGUCGAACUGCUGUACCUUUUUUUUUUUUCGCGAACAGAUGGGAAAUGCACUUUGUUACUAAGCACUAAGUACUGGUGCACCUCGAAGGAGUCC
Dermacentor albipictus is the source of this 838-nucleotide long non-coding RNA. RefSeq lists it as uncharacterized. Lineage: Eukaryota; Metazoa; Arthropoda; Arachnida; Ixodida; Ixodidae. The record is from RefSeq and is a predicted model, not a curated record.